AGAGUUUGAUCCUGGCUCAGAAUCAACGCUGGCGGCGUGCCUAACACAUGCAAGUCGAGCGGUAACAGGUGUAGCAAUACACGCUGACGAGCGGCGAACGGGUGAGUAAUGCUUCGGAAUCUGCCCAAUGGUGGGGAAUAACUAGCCGAAAGGUUAGCUAAUACCGCAUGAGCCCUACGGGGGAAAGCAGGGGAUCGUAAGACCUUGCGCCGAUGGAUGAGCCGAAGCCGGAUUAGCUAGUUGGUAGGGUAACGGCCUACCAAGGCGACGAUCCGUAGCUGGUCUGAGAGGACGACCAGCCACACUGGGACUGAGACACGGCCCAGACUCCUACGGGAGGCAGCAGUGGGGAAUAUUGGACAAUGGGGGAAACCCUGAUCCAGCGACGCCGCGUGUGUGAAGAAGGCCUGCGGGUUGUAAAGCACUUUUAGUGGGGAUGAAAAGCUCAGGGCUAAUACCUCUGGGUCUUGACCUAACCCACAGAAAAAGCACCGGCUAACUCUGUGCCAGCAGCCGCGGUAAUACAGAGGGUGCGAGCGUUAAUCGGAAUUACUGGGCGUAAAGCGUGCGUAGACGGUUAUGUAAGUCGGGUGUGAAAGCCCCGGGCUCAACCUGGGAAUGCCAUUCGAGACUGCAUAGCUAGGGUGCGGAAGAGGGAAGCGGAAUUUCAGGUGUAGCGGUGAAAUGCGUAGAUAUCUGAAGGAACACCAGUGGCGAAAGCGGCUUCCUGGUCCAGCACCGACGUUCAGGCACGAAAGCGUGGGGAGCAAACAGGAUUAGAUACCCCCGUAGUCC
This 795-nucleotide ribosomal RNA is filed under the name uncultured bacterium. Its description in RNAcentral is "bacterial SSU rRNA". It matches the Rfam family "Bacterial small subunit ribosomal RNA", at positions 8 to 796 of the family's 1533-position model. The record is from RNAcentral.